Molecule: long non-coding RNA, 2981 nt
Organism: Sapajus apella (tufted capuchin)
Lineage: Eukaryota; Metazoa; Chordata; Mammalia; Primates; Cebidae
Exons: 2
Source: RefSeq, a predicted model, not a curated record
GCAGUGAGCAGAGAUUACGAUGUUGCAUUCCAGCCUGGGUGACAGAGUGAAUCUUUGUCUCAAAAGUGAGAGAGAAGAGAGAGAGAGAGAGAUUAAGAAAAAUUAACUCCAGUCACCUGGCUGUAGAAGCCAAUGUUUUCAUCUACACACUGUAUUAGGAUUCUCUAAGUAUGUUGUACAGAGAUCAGAAGAUCCUGGACUUUCUCUUUUCCAUUGAAUUCAGGUAUUUCACUUAGUUAUAGAAUUAGCCUAAUUUUUUUUUUUGCACAUAAACCUUCAAAGAGCGUGGAGAUGUUGAACAUCAACAUUGGAUUGUUUUUCCUGCCUGGGUUCGGGGCAAGCAGCUGGAAGUUGGGAAUGAAAUAGGGCAGCAUGUUUACACUCCCCAGGGGCGGAAUAUCUCUGCCCUCUGCAGAGGAAAACAAGGACUCAUUAAAUGUGAGAACUCGCCAAAAAUCUGGCUCACAGCUAAUUUAGCUAAUUUGGGGAUGUCAGGGUGGCUGUACAAUUGGCCCCUCUAUGCUAUCGAAUCCUCUUAAGGGAUGCUUUUUGCUAGCCCUCUGUUUUGUGGUAAUUCUGCUGGGACAUAUUUUACAUUUUGCAUGAAGCCAUGUUGGAGAUUCCUUUAGCUAAAUAUAGCAUCUGGAGAAUGUAGCCUCCUGUCCACAGCUUAGAAACAGACUGACUUUGUCUAGGACUCCAGGGAAAAUUCAGCCCGUUUGGUGCUCCUGACAUCUCCUUUCAUGUAAUGAAAGCUCAGUCUGUAUAUCCUCUGUUGGAACCAAGGUUUGGGCAAAUAUUAUUGCUGCCACCUUCAUUUGUUUAAUGCGGUGGCUUCAAAAACCAUGGCCAAAACCUGCCAAGUUUUACUCCCAUCUCUCUGUGGUCUCUGUGAGAAGCAUGUUCUAAGGAAGCCCACCAAAAACAGAAAUAAUUUUUCUGCUUUUCUCAGUUUAAACUGAAAUAAACUUGGGUGUGCUUUUUUCUGUAGGAGAGAGGAUAAUCCUGUUUUCUCUUUUUACUUAGCUGGGACACACUAAAAGUACCCCUGACUUUGCUUUCUCAAAUCCCUGUUUCUAGCUCUUCACAGCUGCUCACACUUAACCUUGGAAGCUGGUCAGUUCAGACAGUGCUAAGACUCAGUUGCAUCCUUGUUUUUAUAGCACUCCAGUGAACUGUACUCCUUUUUUGCCAUUAGGACUCUUAAGUUACUAUGGCAAAAACUUAGGUUAAAUUGAAAAAGCCAAGUCAGAUUCCCUGUAGACCGGUAGCUUUCAACUUUGCCUGGGCAUGAAAGUUUCUCGGGGAGUUUUAAAAAAAUCUUUGUGACCUUGAAUAAACAAAGGUUUCUUAGGAUAUAAAAAGCAUGAACUAUAAAAUUUUAAAAAGGAUAAAUCAGACUUCAUCAAGUCUUGGACUUUUGUUCUUGGAAAGACUUUAUUUAGAAAAUGAAAGACAAGACGCAGACCAUGAGAAAAUAUUUGUAAUAUAUCUGACAAGGAAUUAUGUCAGAAUAUAGAAUAAAGAACUCUGAGAACUCAGUAUGUAGGAAGAAAGUUGCCCAGGUGCCAAGGCAAGAGACUGUGAAGGCACAAUCUGUCCCAGUAUAAUAGAUGACAGAUUACUUAGUUUUAACAAUGAUACCAAAUAUAUUUAGAAACAAUCAUAUAUUCAAUUAUAUAAUCAAUCUUAUUAAAUCAUUAUUUUUUAUUAUUAAUCUUUAGUAUUAUAACAUAAAAACAUUUUAGCCUUGUAGUAUAGAAACAACCAGGUGAAAUAGAAUUAGCAACCAAAGGACAUUAUGAGAAGUGAUCAGGAGAUGAGAGUGAGAGCCUUGCGGUAGCGCCAGUGCCUGGGAAGGUGCCCGUUACCUAGCAGGCGGGCCUUGCGGUAGCGCCAGUGCCUGGGAAGGUGCCCGUUACCUAGCAGGCAGGCCUUGCGGUAGCGCCAGUGCCUGGGAAGGCACCCGCUACUUAGCAGGCCAUGAAGGCGAGUUUCCCUUUCACUGGGGAAGUUCAGAGAACACUGCUCUGCCCGGCUCUUGAGGAAGGCCUGACAUUAGCCAGGCCUGCCUGCAGACAUCCAGGGGCUUAAAUGCCUUUCCGUGGUGCUGUGCUCCGAUCGUCACCAUCCUUGUCCACUUUCAUGUUCCACUUUCCCACCUGGCUCUCCUUUUAAGUUCUUAGAAGUUGUGAGAAGCAACAGUAGGGAAAUCCUAAAAGCCUUUGAUCUUUCUGAUAAGUGUGUAGAAAAAUGCUAACAUAUGUGCCUCUCUCCCUUGCAGCGGCUACCUGAAAGGGAAGGGCCCCCUGUACUAUAAUAAGACAAACUACCCAAAUUUUAAAAAAUGGAAAAAAAUUAAUAAACAUUUCACUAAUAAAAAUACAUACAUGGCCAAUCAGCACAUGAAAAUAUGCUCAAUAUCAUCAAUCAUCUUGGAAGUACAAGUUAAUACGGUAAGAUGAUAUACACUAUAGCCUCACUAGGAUGGUUAAAAUCGAAGCAGCUGGCAAUACCAAGUGUUAAGGAAGUCGGCCAGAACCCUCAUAUAUUGCUGGUGAGAGUGUGAAAAUGAUACAACCACUUUGGAAAAUAGUUUGGCAAUUUCUUAUGAGGUUACAUAUGUGCUUGUCUUAUGACCCAGUAAUUCCAGGUAUUUAUAGGCAUUUACCCAAGAGAAAUAAAAGCAUAUGUCUAAACAAAGACUCACACCUGAAUAUUCAUAAAGCUUUUGUGAUGGGCUGAGUAAUGCGCCCCUCAAAAAAAAAAAAAAGAGGUCCAUAUUCUAACCUCUGGAACCUGUGAAUGUUACCUAAUGCAUGUAAUAAUGUAAUAGUUUGCAAGUAUGACUAAUUUCUGGAUCUUGUGAUGGGGAUAUCAUGCUUGAUUAGCCAGGUGGGCCCUAAAUGCAAUCACAAAUGUCCUCGUAAGAAGGAGAUUACAGAUAAAAGAGAGGAAGGUCAUGUGAUAGAAGCAAAGGG